Molecule: ribosomal RNA, 383 nt
Filed under: uncultured Anoxybacillus sp.
Lineage: Bacteria; Bacillati; Bacillota; Bacilli; Caryophanales; Anoxybacillaceae
Description: bacterial SSU rRNA
Rfam family: Bacterial small subunit ribosomal RNA
Source: RNAcentral
GAGAGUCGGCGGUCCCCUUCCGGGGGGACGAGGGUGGACAGGUGGUGCAUGGUUGUCGUCAGCUCGUGUCGUGAGAUGUUGGGUUAAGUCCGCAACGAGCGCAACCCUCGACCUUAGUUGCCAGCAUUCAGUUGGGCACUCUAAGGUGACUGCCGGCUAAAAGUCGGAGGAAGGUGGGGAUGACGUCAAAUCAUCAUGCCCCUUAUGACCUGGGCUACACACGUGCUACAAUGGGCGGUACAAAGGGUCGCGAACCCGCGAGGGGGAGCCAAUCCCAAAAAGCCGCUCUCAGUUCGGAUUGCAGGCUGCAACUCGCCUGCAUGAAGCCGGAAUCGCUAGUAAUCGCGGAUCAGCAUGCCGCGGUGAAUACAUUCCCGGGCCUU